GAAAUUGAAAGGCGGCUUCGGCUGUCACUUAUGGAUGGACCCGCGUCGCAUUAGCUAGUUGGUGAGGUAACGGCUCACCAAGGCAACGAUGCGUAGCCGACCUGAGAGGGUGAUCGGCCACACUGGGACUGAGACACGGCCCAGACUCCUACGGGAGGCAGCAGUAGGGAAUCUUCCGCAAUGGACGAAAGUCUGACGGAGCAACGCCGCGUGAGUGAUGAAGGCUUUCGGGUCGUAAAACUCUGUUGUUAGGGAAGAACAAGUGCUAGUUGAAUAAGCUGGCACCUUGACGGUACCUAACCAGAAAGCCACGGCUAACUACGUGCCAGCAGCCGCGGUAAUACGUAGGUGGCAAGCGUUAUCCGGAAUUAUUGGGCGUAAAGCGCGCGCAGGUGGUUUCUUAAGUCUGAUGUGAAAGCCCACGGCUCAACCGUGGAGGGUCAUUGGAAACUGGGAGACUUGAGUGCAGAAGAGGAAAGUGGAAUUCCAUGUGUAGCGGUGAAAUGCGUAGAGAUAUGGAGGAACACCAGUGGCG
Molecule: ribosomal RNA, 535 nt
Filed under: Bacillus cereus group sp.
Lineage: Bacteria; Bacillati; Bacillota; Bacilli; Caryophanales; Bacillaceae
Description: bacterial SSU rRNA
Rfam family: Bacterial small subunit ribosomal RNA
Source: RNAcentral